This is a non-coding RNA of Trichonephila clavata, 73 nucleotides long. The record is from the annotation of a GenBank genome assembly. Lineage: Eukaryota; Metazoa; Arthropoda; Arachnida; Araneae; Nephilidae.
GGUUCGAUGGUCUAGGGAUUAUGAUUCUCGCUUCGGGUGCGAGAGGUCCCGGGUUCAACGCACGGUCGAACCC